Lycium barbarum (goji berry) is the source of this 862-nucleotide long non-coding RNA. RefSeq lists it as uncharacterized. The record is from RefSeq and is a predicted model, not a curated record. The transcript has 4 exons. NCBI's taxonomy places the organism in Eukaryota, Viridiplantae, Streptophyta, Magnoliopsida, Solanales, Solanaceae.
CAUUCACUAGAAGCUUCAAGAGAAAGAAAAAAAAAAAAAAAAAAGUCAGAGAGAGGAGCAAGAAGGCCAUUCGGCCAUAGUAGAAAAAAGAGAGAAAAAAAUUUAGCCAUCAACCUUUGACCCAAAGAUCCUAAUUUUCUAGUAUUCCUACUAAGCUCAAGACCCUCUUCGACGGGAUAUAAAUUUUGAGGCAAGAAAGUACUUUUUUUUAGCAAGUGGAAAAAAUGAAAAAGAUCUUGGAGAGCCCAAGACUUGAGUCGAGAUUUGUUUAGCGAGUGAUCGGGAUUUGUUAGCAAGUGAUUGAGAGAUUUGAAACCUUCUGGAGUAUGAUGUGUUGUGGCGCCAGCGUCGGAGUGGCGACCACGUUCCUGAGCCUUAUGCAUGAUUUUUAUUUGCAUUACAUAUGUUUUUAAAACAGGUACAGACGUUUGUUCUGGUAACCCGCCAGUGUAGGAUACAUUCUGCUACUUUGGAGUGCUCCUUUGACUCGGAGCCCAUACUUUUGGUAAAGAUCUUUCAUUGUAUAUGUCUCUGUAUAUAUGUAUGACUAUCUGGGGUAUGGCGGGGCCCUGCCCCGUCAUAUGUUUCUGUUAUGGUUUGUAGAGGCCUAUAGUCAUAUAUGUGGGUCAUGGGUCAUGUUUGUUCGUUUGUGAUUAUGAUCUGCGUCUUAAUGCGGUCCCGUUUGCUAUUACGGCCAAAACGGCCCAUAUGUUUGUAUAUGUGUGUAUAUUUGGGGCGAUGUGUAUUCCGCCAGCCUACAGGAUUUGAUAUGAUGUUUCUGUACGGGCGACCGCUUAAGAUGAUGUAUGUUCUCAAUAUUUGUGCAAAAUAACGUAUGCUAAAUUUGAAUAAGUCUUCGAUA